CAGUAGCCGCGGUAAUACGAAGGGUGCAAGCGUUAAUCGGAAUUACUGGGCGUAAAGCGCGCGUAGGUGGUUUGGUAAGAUGGAUGUGAAAUCCCAGGGCUCAACCUGGGAACUGCAUCCAUAACUGCCUGACUAGAGUACGGUAGAGGGUGGUGGAAUUUCCUGUGUAGCGGUGAAAUGCGUAGAUAUAGGAAGGAACACCAGUGGCGAAGGCGACCACCUGGACUGAUACUGACACUGAGGUGCGAAAGCGUGGGGAGCAAACAGGAUUAGAUACCCGAGUAGUCCCUGUCUCUUAUAC
RNAcentral lists this ribosomal RNA (301 nucleotides) under uncultured bacterium. RNAcentral describes it as "partial 16S ribosomal RNA". It matches the Rfam family "Bacterial small subunit ribosomal RNA", at positions 509 to 807 of the family's 1533-position model. The record is from RNAcentral.